GAGGAGGAGGAGCAGGAGGAGGAGGAGGAGGAGGAGGAGGAGAAGGAGCAGCAGGAGGAAGAGGAGCAGGAGGAUGUUGGUUUAUGAUGUCGUGGCUUCUUCUCUCCUGUAGGACCUGGGGACCAUCGGACCCUCGUACGACUCACAGAAGCAGACCAGCGCUGCGCCCGCGGCCGGAGGCCUGAACGGUGGAUCCUCCUUCUCAGGUGAAUAUUCGGUGCUUUUUGGCCUCUGGGGCUGAUCUGUUUUUGUGUCUUGCCCCUGCCCCCCCCCCCGGAUAGAAGUUGGCCCUGAGGUUUUCCAAUAAGCAUCUCGAGGGCAACUUCAUCCCCCUCACCCCCCCGCCUGUCUGCUCUCUGCUUGUGUUUGCCCCCCCACACUCCCCACAAGCUUUGCCCCCUGUGACCAGUGGACGGACCCCUCGUCUCUGCCUUGCUGCCAUUGGCUUCCUUUAUCCGAUGCUAACUAGCUAGCCUCGUCGUAGCUUAGCAUUUCACGGCUACUGUACUUUAACGAGAGUAAAUAAGUCUUUUUUUUCUGUGGAGGACUCAAAUAUUUCAAGAAACAAGGAAAUCAGUGUUAUUAUUAUUAUUAUUAGUCAUCAGUCAUCUGCAUUCUGAGGAUAAUAAAAUAUACUAAUUUCAGUUUAUUACUACCAGAAAUUUGAAUGUAAUCUCUUAAUAUAAUCCUCCUCUCAGCAGCGUAAUCAUCAUCAUUUAAUUCAUAACGUCCAAACCACAUAAAUCCUGUGAUAAUUGAAUUAACGUAACAUUCACUUAAGAGCAGAAGAAGAAAUCUCAUUUAAGCAAAUAAACUUAAACAGGAUUGUUUUUCAAUCACUCACCUUUCAGAUCAAUGUCUGAAGAGCUAAAUGUUUAAUUUGAAUGUGUUAAUAUCUCAAGCUGUGGAUUCAACGUGGUUCUUUGGUUAUUCUGCAUAUUGUGGAAUAACUGCACUUGUUUAAGAAUCUUAUGUUUCUGAGGCCGAACAAACAGCCACGUUCACUAAUUCCUGCUUCUGCCUUUUUAGUGUGUGUGUGUGUGUGUGUGUGUGCCUGUGUGUGUGUGUGUGUGUGUGUGUGUCUUUGUGAGCCUAACGUGACUCGUGUGUCUCUUUAAGGCGCGUUGGCUCCUGGCCCCGUUAAAGGACGGAGGGCCCAAACGUAAACAGCAGCAGCAACAGGAGGUUUCUGCAGCCGGAGCCACCAAGAGACCCCGAAG
Long non-coding RNA from Gasterosteus aculeatus aculeatus (three-spined stickleback), 1220 nucleotides. Lineage: Eukaryota; Metazoa; Chordata; Actinopteri; Perciformes; Gasterosteidae. The record is from Ensembl.